GAUGAAGAACGCAGCGAAAUGCGAUACGUAGUGUGAAUUGCAGAAUUCAGUGAAUCAUCGAAUCUUUGAACGCACAUUGCACCUCUCGGUAUUCCGGGAGGUAUGCCUGUUCGAGCGUCAUUUGUACCCUCAAGCUCUGCUUGGUGUUGGGUGUUUGUUCCGCCUCUGUGUGUGAACUCGCCUCAAAACAAUUGGCAGCCGGCGUACUUGUUUCGGAGCGCAGCACAUUUUGCGAUCCAGAUCAACGUACAGCGGCAUCCAAGAAGCCUUAUUUAACGCUCUUGACCUCGGAUCAGGUAGGGAUACCCGCUGAACUUAAGCAUAUCAAUAAGCGGAGGU
This 339-nucleotide unclassified non-coding RNA is filed under the name soil metagenome. RNAcentral describes it as "partial contains 5.8S ribosomal RNA, internal transcribed spacer 2, and large subunit ribosomal RNA". The stretch from base 1 to 120 matches the Rfam family "5.8S ribosomal RNA", at positions 35 to 154 of the family's 154-position model. The record is from RNAcentral.